RNAcentral lists this ribosomal RNA (253 nucleotides) under uncultured bacterium. RNAcentral describes it as "partial 16S ribosomal RNA". It matches the Rfam family "Bacterial small subunit ribosomal RNA", at positions 524 to 776 of the family's 1533-position model. The record is from RNAcentral.
UACGUAGGAGGCAAGCGUUGUCCGGAAUCACUGGGCGUAAAGCGCGUGUAGGUGGAGCAGGAAGUCUGCUGUGAAAGCGCCUGGCUUAACCGGGCGAGGUCGGUGGAAACUCCUGGUCUAGAGGCCGGUAGAGGGGGGUGGAAUUCCGGGUGUAGUGGUGAAAUGCGCAGAUAUCGGGAAGAACACCCGUGGCGAAGGCGGCACUCUGGGACGGUACUGACGCUGAGACGCGAAAGCGUGGGGAGCGAACAGG